UCAUCUUUAACUUAUAAGGUAAAGUGUAGUAUUCGAAACUAUUCAAAUUGGUUCGACUCCAAUAAGGUGCC
RNAcentral lists this transfer RNA (71 nucleotides) under Phlebia radiata. RNAcentral's name for it is "tRNA-Arg(CGA)". It matches the Rfam family "tRNA". From Rfam's summary of the family: Transfer RNA (tRNA) molecules are approximately 80 nucleotides in length. Their secondary structure includes four short double-helical elements and three loops (D, anti-codon, and T loops). Lineage: Eukaryota; Fungi; Basidiomycota; Agaricomycetes; Polyporales; Meruliaceae. The record is from RNAcentral.